This is a non-coding RNA of Massospora cicadina, 83 nucleotides long. NCBI's taxonomy places the organism in Eukaryota, Fungi, Entomophthoromycota, Entomophthoromycetes, Entomophthorales, Entomophthoraceae. The record is from the annotation of a GenBank genome assembly.
CUGAUUGUAGCACAGUCGAAAGAGUGAAGGACUGUAAUUUAAAAGUAAUCCUUAGGUCCCUGGUUUGAUCCUAGGCAAUUAGA